This 460-nucleotide ribosomal RNA is filed under the name uncultured Desulfobulbus sp. RNAcentral's name for it is "bacterial SSU rRNA". It matches the Rfam family "Bacterial small subunit ribosomal RNA", at positions 927 to 1382 of the family's 1533-position model. Lineage: Bacteria; Pseudomonadati; Thermodesulfobacteriota; Desulfobulbia; Desulfobulbales; Desulfobulbaceae. The record is from RNAcentral.
AAGCGGUGGAGUAUGUGGUUUAAUUCGAUGCAACGCGAGAACUUACCUGGCUUGACAUCCCGGAGACCCUUAGGAAACUAGGGGGGUUGCUUCCAUCUGGAAGAAUCUGGAGACAGGUGCUGCAUGGCUGUCGUCAGCUCGUGUCGUGAGAUGUUGGGUUAAGUCCCGCAACGAGCGCAACCCUUGCCUUUAGUUGCCAGCAGUUCGGCUGGGCACUCUAAAGGGACUGCCGGUGUUAAACCGGAGGAAGGUGGGGAUGACGUCAAGUCCUCAUGGCCUUUAUGACCAGGGCUACACACGUACUACAAUGGCCGAUACAAAGGGCAGCGACACUGCGAGGUGAAGCCAAUCCCGUAAAAUCGGUCUCAGUCCGGAUUGGAGUCUGCAACUCGACUCCAUGAAGUUGGAAUCGCUAGUAAUCGUGGAUCAGCAUGCCACGGUGAAUACGUUCCCGGGCCUU